AAAAGAGAGAGGAAACCAAACAUUAACACUAAAGAUAGUGAUCAAAUCCCAGAAGAAGACAUCAAAAGAAGAAAGGAAUGAAAAAGAACUACAAAAACAAUCUGAAAACAAUUGACAAAAUGGUAAUGAGCCCAUAGCUAUCAAUAAU
This is a long non-coding RNA of Aethalodelphis obliquidens (Pacific white-sided dolphin), 148 nucleotides long. RefSeq lists it as uncharacterized. The transcript has 3 exons. The record is from RefSeq and is a predicted model, not a curated record. NCBI's taxonomy places the organism in Eukaryota, Metazoa, Chordata, Mammalia, Artiodactyla, Delphinidae.